GUAGGUGGCAAGCGUUGUCCGGAAUUAUUGGGCGUAAAGCGCGCGCAGGCGGUCCUUUAAGUCUGAUGUGAAAGCCCACGGCUCAACCGUGGAGGGUCAUUGGAAACUGGGGGACUUGAGUACAGAAGAGGGAAGCGGAAUUCCAAGUGUAGCGGUGAAAUGCGUAGAGAUUUGGAGGAACACCAGUGGCGAAGGCGGCUUUCUGGUCUGUAACUGACGCUGAGGCGCGAAAGCGUGGGGAGCAAACAGGGAUUAGAUACCCUGGUAGUCCACGCCGUAAACGAUGAGUGCUAAGUGUUAGGGGGUUUCCCGCCCCUUAGUGCUGCAGCUAACGCAUUAAGCACUCCGCCUGGGGAGUACGGCCGCAAGGCUG
Molecule: ribosomal RNA, 373 nt
Filed under: uncultured organism
Description: partial 16S ribosomal RNA
Rfam family: Bacterial small subunit ribosomal RNA
Source: RNAcentral